This 368-nucleotide RNase P RNA is filed under the name uncultured Maritalea sp. Its description in RNAcentral is "Bacterial RNase P class A". It matches the Rfam family "Bacterial RNase P class A". Rfam says of the family: Ribonuclease P (RNase P) is a ubiquitous endoribonuclease, found in archaea, bacteria and eukarya as well as chloroplasts and mitochondria. Its best characterised activity is the generation of mature 5'-ends of tRNAs by cleaving the 5'-leader elements of precursor-tRNAs. The record is from RNAcentral. Lineage: Bacteria; Pseudomonadati; Pseudomonadota; Alphaproteobacteria; Hyphomicrobiales; Devosiaceae.
AGUUGGUCGGGCAAUCGCUGUGACUUUGUCAUGGAGGAAAGUCCGGACUCUACGGAAACACGGUGCCGGGUAACGCCCGGCGGGGGCGACCCCAGGGAAAGUGCCACAGAAAGCAAACCGCCGCGCGCUAGUGCGGUAAGGGUGAAAGGGUGCGGUAAGAGCGCACCGCAAAAUUGGUAACAGUUUUGGCAAGGUAAACCCCACCGAGAGCAAAACCAAAUAGGGUUGGCGCGGUCUUUGACCGGUCUGUUUCCAGGCUAGCCAACCGGGUAGGUUGCAUGAGACAGUUAGCAAUGAUUGUCCAAGAUGAAUGGUUGCCACGUAUAGCUUUGCUAUGCCUUACAAAAUCCGGCUUACAGACCAACUGG